This 71-nucleotide transfer RNA is filed under the name Candidatus Delongbacteria bacterium. Its description in RNAcentral is "tRNA-Gln". It matches the Rfam family "tRNA". From Rfam's summary of the family: Transfer RNA (tRNA) molecules are approximately 80 nucleotides in length. Their secondary structure includes four short double-helical elements and three loops (D, anti-codon, and T loops). Lineage: Bacteria; Candidatus Delongiibacteriota. The record is from RNAcentral.
UGGGGUAUCGCCAAGUGGUAAGGCUCCGGGUUCUGGUUCCGGCACCGGGGGUUCGAGUCCCUCUACCCCUG